GGGCAUACCUAGCUGCAGGCGCACGGCUCAGCUGGGGCGGCGGACAUACAUAGCUGCAGGCCCCACCUGUGCCAGGGGCCCUGGACAGGCAGAGAUUUUGUCUUCAGCUUCAAAAACAGACGUCCCAGCCAGCUUCCCUGCUGGAACUUUGAUCACUGAUGUUUCAGAACCAGACAUCAUGAACAUCCACAUCCCCAAGUAAAUAAGUGACAGGCCUGUUAUUAAUAAUUCUCUAUUUAUUAAAAAGGGUCCUACAGCUUUACAGCCACAGCACCGGACACGGCCCUGGACAGCGACGGCGAGCCCGGCCAGGGGCCGCUUUGCAACUUCAAUGCCAAGCUCACGUCUGGCUGCGACCGUGGCAGGCUGUGGCAUCCCCGACAGCGGCCGGUGGCGGAGGUAUGGGGGCGGGUGGCACCGCUCACUCGAGAUUCACAGAACAUGGCAAGCCCGCCUGACUGGCAUGGCAGUGAAUCGUCCUGUACAGCUUCAUUUCCUUUAAGAAAACAGUUACAGUAGAGUUCAAGUCCGAGAGCAGGAAUGUACGGUCACUGAGGACAAAAGGCAGUGGCCUGGCCCGUGGCCCAGACCCCGCUUCAGUUCUGCCUUCUGUCACCCUGGCGGCUAGGCACAGGUCGGGGCCCUGGAUGCCCGACAAGUGACAGGGGAGGGGCGGGCCAGAAGGUCCACUGGUAAGCACCUCGGCCUUUUCCGUCAACAGGUGCCACUGCCCCCUGCUGGGCCCUGGGCCUUCAGCACACAUGGCACGUGAAGAUGAGGUCCCACAGGGGUGGGGGAAGAGCAGGUGCAGACGGUUGGAGUGCAGCCCCGUCCCUCAAUCCCAUGGGGCGGGCUUUCGCCAAACCCCUAACGUUGCCC
This 879-nucleotide long non-coding RNA is filed under the name Homo sapiens (human). RNAcentral describes it as "HSALNT0196280". Lineage: Eukaryota; Metazoa; Chordata; Mammalia; Primates; Hominidae. The record is from RNAcentral.